RNAcentral lists this ribosomal RNA (465 nucleotides) under uncultured bacterium. Its description in RNAcentral is "bacterial SSU rRNA". It matches the Rfam family "Bacterial small subunit ribosomal RNA", at positions 917 to 1382 of the family's 1533-position model. The record is from RNAcentral.
GGGCCCGCACAAGCGGUGGAGCAUGUGGUUCAAUUCGACGCAACGCGAAGAACCUUACCUGGGCUAGACAACGGCGGACCGUCCUAGAAAUAGGACUUUCCUUUCGGGGACCACCGGUUCAGGUGCUGCAUGGCUGUCGUCAGCUCGUGCCGUGAGGUGUUGGGUUAAGUCCCGCAACGAGCGCAACCCUCGUCCUUAGUUGCCACCAUUCAGUUGGGCACUCUAGGGAGACUGCCGGCGUUAAGCCGGAGGAAGGUGGGGACGACGUCAAGUCAUCAUGGCCCUUAUGUCCAGGGCCACACACGUGCUACAAUGGGCGGUACAAAGGGUCGCAAACCCGCGAGGGGGAGCCAAUCCCAAAAAGCCGCUCUCAGUUCGGAUUGGAGUCUGCAACUCGACUCCAUGAAGUUGGAAUCGCUAGUAAUCGCGGAUCAGCACGCCGCGGUGAAUACGUUCCCGGGCCUU